This 192-nucleotide ribosomal RNA is filed under the name Solanum tuberosum (potato). RNAcentral describes it as "rRNA SSU_rRNA_eukarya". It matches the Rfam family "Eukaryotic small subunit ribosomal RNA", at positions 779 to 974 of the family's 1831-position model. Lineage: Eukaryota; Viridiplantae; Streptophyta; Magnoliopsida; Solanales; Solanaceae. The record is from RNAcentral.
AGCAAGCCUACGCUCUGUAUACAUUAGCAUGGCAUAAAAUUAUAGAGUUUCGGUCCUAUUACAUUUGCCUUCGGGAUCGAAUUAAUGAUUAAUAGGGACCGUCGGGGCAUUCGUGUUUCAUAGUCACAGGUGAAAUUUUUAGAUUUAUGAAAGACGAACAACUGCGAAAGCAUUUUCCAAAGAUGUUUAAUU